RNAcentral lists this transfer RNA (70 nucleotides) under Ictidomys tridecemlineatus (thirteen-lined ground squirrel). RNAcentral's name for it is "Spermophilus tridecemlineatus (thirteen-lined ground squirrel) tRNA". The stretch from base 6 to 66 matches the Rfam family "tRNA", at positions 6 to 65 of the family's 71-position model. Rfam says of the family: Transfer RNA (tRNA) molecules are approximately 80 nucleotides in length. Their secondary structure includes four short double-helical elements and three loops (D, anti-codon, and T loops). Lineage: Eukaryota; Metazoa; Chordata; Mammalia; Rodentia; Sciuridae. The record is from Rfam by way of RNAcentral.
UGGGCUGUGGCUCAGUGGUAGAGCACUUGCCUGGCACGCAUAAGGCACUGGGUUCAAUCCCCAGCACCAU